UAUUUAUUUUUAAAAUACUUUUUUUUUUUUGUAUUUAAUCCUCUCAAUUUUUUAUUUUUUAUUUUUUACCAAAUGAGCCUUAUAAAUUUAUAUUUACUUAAAUGAUCCUCCUUGCCACGCGAGCACCACGUUGGCCAUUUUAAGUUAAACUAGUAUAGAGACCCGCGCGAUGCAGCGGGUAGAUAAUACAAGCAAAAUUUAAAAAUUUUAAUAAAAUUUAUAUUUACGAGUUAUUGAUAUAUAGAAAACUAUACCAGGUUAAGUACAGUUAAUUUGCAUGACUAAAUUUAACUAUUAAAAAAAUAAAUUAUAGCUAGAAUCCACUUAUUGAUAAAAUAUUAAUAUGGUGUAUGUAAUUAAUUGUUGCACCUUAUAUGUAAUUAGAUGAGUGGGGAAGUGAAGGGUUGGGCGUUGAGAAGAAAAGAAGAUGUUCUGAUUUAAAAUUGGGCUAUGAGAAUAAAGGGCAACAUGUUACGUGGUAAAAAAAUUUUUAUAGUGCAUGCAAAAGAGUUACAAAAGAGAGGGGGUGGGAGAUUAAUGGAGAAAAGAGUUGAUUAAAGUUAUAAAGCCCACUCAUUGAUAGAAUAUUAAUAUGGUGCAUAUAAUUAAAUGUUGCACCUUUCAUGUAAUUAGAGGAGUGGAGAGUGAAAGGUAACAUGCCACGUGGCAAAAAAUAUUGUAGCUUCAUAUAAGUUUUAGAUUUAGAUACGGUGAUUAAAUCACCGUAUUCAUAUUCACAGGUUAGGUGAUAAAAAAUAUAAAAAAAAAUACGGUGAUCCAAUGAUUGAAUCAUCAUAUUCAGCUUAAAAACCUCACCUACAAGCUCACAUGGCAAGAAAAGAAUUAUUUAUGUAAAUAUGAAUUUGUUAUGACUAUUUGUAAA
Molecule: long non-coding RNA, 883 nt
Filed under: Ananas comosus (pineapple)
Lineage: Eukaryota; Viridiplantae; Streptophyta; Magnoliopsida; Poales; Bromeliaceae
Description: long non-coding RNA (ACOM_LNC022040)
Source: RNAcentral